Long non-coding RNA from Papaver somniferum (opium poppy), 1848 nucleotides. RefSeq lists it as uncharacterized. The transcript is spliced from 6 exons. NCBI's taxonomy places the organism in Eukaryota, Viridiplantae, Streptophyta, Magnoliopsida, Ranunculales, Papaveraceae. The record is from RefSeq and is a predicted model, not a curated record.
GCACAAGUUUCAACCAAAAACCUUCUCAUCUCCUCUUUGACAUUAUCGAUUCAUUUCCGAUUAUCAUAAACCCUAACAAAUCAACCGUAAUUCCAUGAUCUUUAUAAAUCCACUUCUGUUCCUGCUGCUGCUACUACUACUCCUGUGAAAUUACAGGUUGAAUUCUGAGAAAUCGAGGAAAAAAUUGUUGAUGAGAGUGAGAAGCCCGGGAGAUUUCGGACUGAUGAAGGUGAGAUUUGUUCUUCUGAAAGGGCUAUGUUGGUUUACAUGCUUCGAAGCCCUCCAGUAUUUCCGCACCUGAAGAAGGACCCAAAUACUUCAACAGAUUCCAGGCAUCGACUGAAGAAGGAUCCUUUUCAGCCUUUCAGGUUACAUUGGGAGUUUCGGCAGAGACACUUAAUCAUGGGCCGGUUGAUCUUGAUAUAACCGCUGACCGAAGGAAGAUGAAGAGAUAUGGAUGAUCACCAAAAUACUGUUAAAGAUGCCCUAGAGAACCAUGAACUGUAGGCCUGGGAAGGAUUGGAGCAAAUGGCUAACAUCUUCCAGAACACUGGACUUUUCUUUACCACGGACUAUAAUGAGCUCAAGACUUCGAAACUUGUACUGAAAGAUGCCAUAGUUUUGGAGGAAAUGGAUUUUUUUUACAGCAAAUGCUUGAUAACUUGGAAUUGGUGCAGUUGAAAAUCCUAUUUCACCUUGAUGUGUAUUUGUUUUGAGGAACUUCAGAGUCUUGAUUAGUGGUGGCUCUUCCAUCCAUCAGUUGAAUAGAAGGUAUUCAUGGCUCUCGUGAGAUGAUGUCCAAUGGGUCUGCAGAUGCAGUUAGUAAUAGAAACAUGUUCAUUUUGCACUGGUGGGCAUCAACAACCAGAUGAGUUUGCUUCAAUCUAAGUGUGCUCGAUAUAUGGUUUCAAGCAGUGAUCUGAAUCAAGUUAAGCAGUACAUAAUCUUAAUGAAGGUGGAUCAGCUAAGGAAUGAGUUGAGUGAAACUCAGAAUAACUCUGUCCAAGACUAUGUUACAAGUUGGCUUAAUGAAGGUGGAGAUUUUUCUAAACUGAGAAUGGUGGGUCUUGUUUAUUUUGGGCAAUCUGGAAGGCGAGAAAUAACAUAAUCUUUAACAGUGGGAAGUUUAAUAUCCAGGCUAUCAUUAAAGAAGCCAUGUACUGGUUUAAUAUGGAGAUAAUCCACGAUACUGAAGACAUUCCCACCUGAACUGAUAUUUUGAAUUCUCAAAAGUGGGAGGCGCCUAUGGCAGGUAAGAGUAAAAUCAAUUUUGAUGGUGCUGCUGGUCCCAGGGUUAUUAUUGUAGUGCUGUGGCAAGAGACGGUAAGGCUGGUUAUCAAGGUGGUCAGACCAAUAUUUUCAAUUACAUAAUGGCCAUUGAAGCUGAGGCUCAUAGAGCGGCUCUUGCUUUGGAGCUGGCUAAAACCAAAGGAUUCAGAUACAUAGUGCUUGAGGGUGACUCCUUAACUAUCAUCAACACCUAAGGUACAAACAUUACAGCUCUCCUUGGUGUAUUCAAAACUCAAUCAGCAGGAUCAGAGAGGAGCCGGGCAAUUUCAACUCUGUGGAUUUCCAACUUGUUCAAAAGGAGGCCAAUAAUGUGGCUGCUUAUACAGUUACUAACCCCGCAUCUGAAGUGUGGCUCAUACUCAUUGAUGUUGUCUCUUCUUCUGAUUUUUAGGCUUUUUGAUUUUUCCUUCGUCUUUCCUUCCAAAAAAAAAGAAAAAAAAAAAGGUUAAGCGGUACAUUACCUGUCCCUUCUCGACUUGAGUUUCUUUCUCUUUUGAAAUGGUGACCAGGGUCAAGCUGGCGAAAGAUUAAAUAAAUAAAUUGGCCAAGAUUCUUGAA